CAUCGCCACGGUAAUACGUAGGUGGCAAGCGUUGUCCGGAAUUAUUGGGCGUAAAGGGCUCGCAGGCGGUUUCUUAAGUCUGAUGUGAAAGCCCCCGGCUGAGCCGGGGAGGGUCAUUGGAAACUGGGAAACUUGAGUGCAGAAGAGGAGAGUGGAAUUCCGCGUGUAGCGGUGAAAUGCGUAGAGAUGUGGAGGAACACCAGUGGCGAAGGCGACUCUCUGGUCUGUAACUGACGCUGAGGAGCGAAAGCGUGGGGAGCGAACAGGAUUAGAUACCCGUGUAGUCCCUGUCUCUUAUACA
This 301-nucleotide ribosomal RNA is filed under the name uncultured bacterium. Its description in RNAcentral is "partial 16S ribosomal RNA". It matches the Rfam family "Bacterial small subunit ribosomal RNA", at positions 510 to 808 of the family's 1533-position model. The record is from RNAcentral.